Molecule: long non-coding RNA, 609 nt
Filed under: Manihot esculenta (cassava)
Lineage: Eukaryota; Viridiplantae; Streptophyta; Magnoliopsida; Malpighiales; Euphorbiaceae
Description: long non-coding RNA (MESC_LNC010172)
Source: RNAcentral
AGUGAGCACUGCUUCAGAACCUGCAGAGUCAGUACAGAGUCAACCAGAGGUGAAUGGAACUGAACUAAAUCUUUUAAUAUGAGAACUCAAACAUUUUUAACAUGUUUCAUGCAUCAUUUAUGCCAUGUUUAUAGUAUUGCAUUAGUGAGCACGAAGAUGUUGCAUUAAUCAGUGCAUGUACAAAUCGGGCGUAACUUAGAUUCAUUAGCCCCCUAAAUGAAGACCUGAGGAGCCCUGAAAGGGCCGGGCACACGGUACCAUAGGGUGCUGAAUGAAGACCUGAGGAGCUCCUUCGCGGGCCGGGCAAUGUGGGGGAAUUUUGAAUUAGUCCGUCUGAGAUUAUGUGAUUUACUUGUGUUGUGAUACAUUCAAUGUGAUCAUGUUUUCUAACAUGUUUUAUAUGUACUACUCACUGGGCUAGUAUAGCUCACCCCUCUCCCUUAACCCCAGUCUUGCAGGUUCAGAGUCCAGAGAGGUCAGCAGGGUACAGAUAAAGAGAAGAGUUAUGUAAUAGCUAGUGUGGACAUGUAAUUGUAAAAGAUAGUGAAUGUUGUAUAGAUGAUGCUUGACCAUAUGAGUUGUAAUCCAUUUUGUAUAUACAUGGUCGGU